AUCGUACCCCAAACCGACACAGGUGGUCAGGUAGAGAAUACUCAGGCGCUUGAGAGAACUCGGGUGAAGGAACUAGGCAAAAUGGUGCCGUAACUUCGGGAGAAGGCACGCUGGCACUAGGUGAAGUGGUUUACCCAUGGAGCUGAAGCCAGUCGCAGAUACCAGCUGGCUGCAACUGUUUAUUAAAAACACAGCACUGUGCAAACACGAAAGUGGACGUAUACGGUGUGACGCCUGCCCGGUG
Molecule: ribosomal RNA, 244 nt
Filed under: Morganella morganii
Lineage: Bacteria; Pseudomonadati; Pseudomonadota; Gammaproteobacteria; Enterobacterales; Morganellaceae
Description: partial 23S ribosomal RNA
Rfam family: Bacterial large subunit ribosomal RNA
Source: RNAcentral